GGGUCCCUGUCGCGACAGGGGGGGCUCACAGCGAUGCGGCGCCCACUCGUGGUCCCGCUCCUGUCGCGAUACAGGGGCACUGUCGCGACAGGAGCGUCCAUCUUCAUCUUCAUCCAGGGUCCUGCCAGGAUCGGAGCCCUUGCAGAGCGUGGACAGACGUUCUUGUCGCGAUAGACCAUCCCUGUCGUGACACGGGGCACCCCCAUCCUGGUACUGUGGGUCACCCGGUGUGGGGCUCUGGGACAAUGGGGGGGGUCCCUGUCACGACAUGUGGGGCCCUAUUACCAAAAGGGGUCCCUGUCACAACAUGGAAUCGCCCCCGCCCUCGUACCAUGGGUCCCCCAAAACCAUGUGAACACGUGGGGGGAUUCCUGUCGUGAUAAUGGGUCCUUAUCACAAUACGGGGGCUCCUAUCGCGAUAUGAGGUCCCUGUCGGGAUACAGGGGUCUCCCUUUCCUCUGGAUUUCCAGAUCCCCAAGUCAAGGAGGAGAAACGGGUGGGGUUCUCCACCACAACAUGGGGCUCCCUGUCGUGAUAUGGGGGGUCUGUGUCGGGACAGGACCCCAGGCCAGCAGCAGCGGCGCCGCGGGGAGUCGAACCCCGCCCCGGGGGGUCCCGGGGGUGCCACCACCGGCGCCUUUUGCUUUUUUUUCGGCCUUUUUGGGUCCAGAGGAGAAAAAGCAAAACCUGAGAAAACGGGGUAAAGUUUUCUCAGGAAAAGAAAAAACCUCCCGAAACGGGGAAAAAAAAAAAGCAAAAAAAACCUCCCCAAAACGGGUCCGGCCCCGCCCCAAGCGACUUGGGGCAAAAUGUGGGGAAUUUGGGGCCGGAGCGCACCCGAAAACGGGCGGUUUGGGGGGUUUGGGACCCACCACGCGUCCCUGGCGCAAUUUGGGCGGAGAAACGGGAAUUUUGGGUCCGAGUCACGGCCCAGGCGCAAAACAAGACUCAGAAACGGAUUUGGGGUCACGGGCGCAUCCUGGUCGCAAAACGGGGCCGGGAGGAGGAAAUGAGGGCGCAAAAUGGGCUCAGACCGGCGGAUUUGGGGUUAAUCCCGCGCCCCCGGAGCACAGCGAGGUCCGAAAGGAGGAUUUGGGGUUGGCCGCGCGCCCCCGGCACGGGAUCGGCUCCGAAACGGGGUUUGGGGUCCAUCGCGCGCCCCCCUCGCGGCUCGGGCCGAGAACGGGCGAUUUUGGGGCUCGGCGCAUCCCGGGGCCCCGCCGGUACUUACUCUGCUGGCUCACCUGUCUUAUUUUGGGGGGAAUUUCUAGUUUUUUAAGCCUUUUUGGUUUUUUUUUUUUUUUUUUUUUUUCUUUUUUUUUUGAUCACCGGCCCCUCCCGCGCGACGCCUUUGGGUUAAAAACAAAAGAUUUUGGACACUUACUGAGCGGCGCCGGCGGGAGCGGCGGAGCCGGAGGGCGCUGGAGGAAUUUGGGGGGUUUUCCCCAUUUUUGGGGAGUUUAAUAGAAAGAGGGAAGGGGAAGGGGCGACGGCGGCGGCGCCUGAAACGACAGAACCCCAAAACCCCCCAAAUCCCCCCAAAAUUCCCAAACCCCCGGGGGGGUGGGGCCUCACCCGGCCGCUGC
Molecule: long non-coding RNA, 1586 nt
Organism: Lonchura striata (white-rumped munia)
Lineage: Eukaryota; Metazoa; Chordata; Aves; Passeriformes; Estrildidae
Source: Ensembl